Molecule: long non-coding RNA, 526 nt
Filed under: Pan troglodytes (chimpanzee)
Lineage: Eukaryota; Metazoa; Chordata; Mammalia; Primates; Hominidae
Description: lincRNA
Source: RNAcentral
GCGCAAGGCCCAUGGCUUCCUCCCAAGGGAAGCUCCGUGUCCCUUUCUUGGAAAGCAGACUUGGCUUUUUUGGCAGGAUCAUGGCCAACUGUCGAGGAGGAGGAGGAGGAGGAAGAGGAGGAGGAGGAGGAGGAAGAAGACUUCUCCUAAGUUCCUGACCCCCACCCCAUAGCUACCUGCUCAGUACCUGGGUAGGCAGGCACUGAAGAUCCACACAAAAGAUGAGCCCCUGACUCUUCCAGGGCCAGGCCGGCUCAGGGACCCCAAAGCCUUUUUUCUUCCAACAGCACAAAUGAGAAGCCACAUUGCAGUAUCAACCUUGGGAAUUUCAAAUACCUUUGAAACAGGCAUCUCACUGGACACAGAAGACACAACUGUGAACAAGUCCAAGAAAGACCCUGUUCUCAGGAAACUGAAAUUCCUGCUAGAAGGUCUGGCAAACCUUCGUUCAGAGAUAUGACAAAAUCAAGGGUUGUGCAAGAAGCAUGGUGCUGACAUCUGCUCCUGGUGAGGCCUCAGGAAGCUU